Molecule: ribosomal RNA, 200 nt
Filed under: uncultured bacterium
Lineage: Bacteria
Description: partial 16S ribosomal RNA
Rfam family: Bacterial small subunit ribosomal RNA
Source: RNAcentral
AGGCUGAAACUCGCCUACAUGAAGCUGGAGUUACUAGUAAUCGCAGAUCAGAAUGCUGCGGUGAAUGCGUUCCCGGGUCUUGUACACACCGCCCGUCACACCACGGAAGUUGGGGGCGCCCGAAGCCACUUAGCUAACCCUUUGGGAAGCGAGUGUCGAAGGUGAAAUCAAUAACUGGGGUGAAGUCGUAACAAGGUACC